RNAcentral lists this ribosomal RNA (253 nucleotides) under uncultured bacterium. Its description in RNAcentral is "partial 16S ribosomal RNA". It matches the Rfam family "Bacterial small subunit ribosomal RNA", at positions 524 to 776 of the family's 1533-position model. The record is from RNAcentral.
UACGGAGGGUGCAAGCGUUGUCCGGAAUCACUGGGCGUAAAGGGCGCGUAGGCGGCUCAUGAAGGCUGUGGUGGAAGUCCGGGGCUCAACCUCGGAUCGGCCGUGGCGACUCGUGGGCUGGAGCACUGUAGAGGCGGGUGGAAUUCCGGGUGUAGCGGUGGAAUGCGUAGAGAUCGGGAGGAAGGCCGGUGGCGAAGGCGGCGCUCUGGAACGUUUCUGACACUGAGGCUCGAAAGCGUGGGGAGCAAACAGG